Molecule: long non-coding RNA, 1195 nt
Filed under: Linum usitatissimum (flax)
Lineage: Eukaryota; Viridiplantae; Streptophyta; Magnoliopsida; Malpighiales; Linaceae
Description: long non-coding RNA (LUSI_LNC008027)
Source: RNAcentral
CACGCGAUUUGUCUUUAAUCUGUGUAGUGGGUUCAUAAUAGUCGGGAUCCCCUCGAUUAUUCGUCAAAUUAUCUCGGGCUUGGUUUAAGAAACCUUCCACUUUCUUUUUUAUGCAUUGAUGUGAUCUCAACCAAACCAAAAUAACUAGCUAGGUAACAAGAAAUUAAAUGUAUUUGCCACCUAAUUUAAUCUCAAAUGGUCCUCACUUACUUGAAACAUGUCUAUUAUAUUUAUUAGCUUGUUUCAAGAAGCCUAAACCAUUGUUAAACAAUGGUUUAGGAUCAACAUUGUUGCCACCAACGCCCGACUUGUCUUUAAUAUGUGUAGAAUAGUAAGGAUUUCUUCGAUUGUUCAUCAAGUUAUCUGAAGCUUGUCUUAAGAAAUCUCCCAUUUUCUUUUUAUGUAUUGAUGUGAUCUCUUCUUUGCACCCGUUGAUCCCUAAAAAUAACAAAUCAACCCCAUAAAAUAUUAAAAACUUGCACUAUAAUCCAUCUUCCUUCAAAAAAUUGGCUAAGCCAUUACAAAGGAUUUUUUUUAUAAAAUUUUGGAUCCAAUUAGGAGAUAACAAGUAAAUUCGAUAGGAUUUUGCAACCCAAUCAACUAAAUGAGUAAGACGAUCCGACGGAGUCAUAUUGAUAUGCAAAAUAUUAGAAUUAUGUAUUAUAAUUAGUAUUUUUGGGAAUUAGGAUAUAAAGUAGUACGCACCUAGAUCAUAUGAGCCACCGAUACGUUAUUCUACGUCUCAACGCGAUGCUCCAUCCUUGUAGCUUUUGCUCCAAAGACAACGAGCACUCGAAUUACUACCUUCUGCCACCAUUUGGCUUACAGCCGAUUCUAGUACCAAUGAACUUCCCGCGAGCUUUAGGCAAUCAUUUAUCCCGAGCUCUUUAGAUCUGUACAUUUUCAAUGCGACCACUUGUCCCAAAAUUUUCCUAUCGGUAUCUUUUCAAUCUUUCCGAAGCCUUCCAUUCCAUUUUGUAACAAUUGAAUCAUAACGUUAGAUAAGUUUAACUCCAAUCUCUGUUGGCAACAACAAUCCCACAUAGAAUCUUAACAUGUUAGUCAUUGUAUAAAUCAAAACAAAAACAAAACUCAGAAUAAAUAAACACUGCCUAAAUCUGCAACCUCAUUGCCUUCCAUAUUUUCGGUUGGUUUAAGGGAUUCGAUGGAUCAUCGAACCAAAUAACCGCGGUGA